CCUAACACAUGCAAGUCGAGCGGAGUUAACAAGAGGAAGUUUCGGAUGGAAUUUGUUAAUUAGCGGCGGACGGGUGAGUAACGCGUGAGCGACCAACCUUGCACAGGGGGAUAACGGACCGAAAGGUUCACUAAUACCGCAUGAGACCACGGUGUUGCAUGACACAGAGGUCAAAGGAGCAAUCCGGUGCAAGACGGGCUCGCGUCCGAUUAGGUAGUUGGUGGGGUAAUGGCCCACCAAGCCUAUGAUCGGUAGCCGACCUGAGAGGGUGAUCGGCCACAUUGGAACUGAGAUACGGUCCAAACUCCUACGGGAGGCAGCAGUGGGGAAUAUUGCACAAUGGGCGAAAGCCUGAUUGCAGCAACGCCGCGUGAGCGAUGAAGGCCUUUGGGUCGUAAAAGCUCUGUCCUAGGGGAAGAAUAAAUGACGGUACCCUUGGAGGAAGCCCCGGCUAACUACGUGCCAGCCGCUGC
This 473-nucleotide ribosomal RNA is filed under the name uncultured bacterium. RNAcentral's name for it is "bacterial SSU rRNA". It matches the Rfam family "Bacterial small subunit ribosomal RNA", at positions 47 to 518 of the family's 1533-position model. The record is from RNAcentral.